Molecule: ribosomal RNA, 732 nt
Filed under: Escherichia coli
Lineage: Bacteria; Pseudomonadati; Pseudomonadota; Gammaproteobacteria; Enterobacterales; Enterobacteriaceae
Description: partial 23S ribosomal RNA
Rfam family: Bacterial large subunit ribosomal RNA
Source: RNAcentral
UGUUUGAUGUUCUAACGUUGGCCCGUAAUCCGGGUUGCGGACAGUGUCUGGUGGGUAGUUUGACUGGGGCGGUCUCCUCCUAAAGAGUAACGGAGGAGCACGAAGGUUGGCUAAUCCUGGUCGGACAUCAGGAGGUUAGUGCAAUGGCAUAAGCCAGCUUGACUGCGAGCGUGACGGCGCGAGCAGGUGCGAAAGCAGGUCAUAGUGAUCCGGUGGUUCUGAAUGGAAGGGCCAUCGCUCAACGGAUAAAAGGUACUCCGGGGAUAACAGGCUGAUACCGCCCAAGAGUUCAUAUCGACGGCGGUGUUUGGCACCUCGAUGUCGGCUCAUCACAUCCUGGGGCUGAAGUAGGUCCCAAGGGUAUGGCUGUUCGCCAUUUAAAGUGGUACGCGAGCUGGGUUUAGAACGUCGUGAGACAGUUCGGUCCCUAUCUGCCGUGGGCGCUGGAGAACUGAGGGGGGCUGCUCCUAGUACGAGAGGACCGGAGUGGACGCAUCACUGGUGUUCGGGUUGUCAUGCCAAUGGCACUGCCCGGUAGCUAAAUGCGGAAGAGAUAAGUGCUGAAAGCAUCUAAGCACGAAACUUGCCCCGAGAUGAGUUCUCCCUGAGACUUAGAGUCUCCUGAAGGAACGUUGAAGACGACGACGUUGAUAGGCCGGGUGUGUAAGCGCAGCGAUGCGUUGAGCUAACCGGUACUAAUGAACCGUGAGGCUUAACCUUACAACGCCGAAG